Molecule: long non-coding RNA, 297 nt
Filed under: Capsicum annuum
Lineage: Eukaryota; Viridiplantae; Streptophyta; Magnoliopsida; Solanales; Solanaceae
Description: long non-coding RNA (CANN_LNC003728)
Source: RNAcentral
AAUGAUGUGAAGCACGCUCCCAAGAGUCCCACAAGAUACUUCAACUUGUCCAACCCCAUGAAGGUGACAAGAAGUUUUUAACAUACUUGGACCCUUCCACAAACAAGAAUACAACUUGGUAUCCUUAAGUUGUGGUUCACAUAACUUAAAUACAAGUGUGUCAAACAUGGAUGCACGAAUAUGAGCAACACCCCAAAGAGACAAUGACACAUUUGCCCUACGGUCCUCGAGUAGACACAAACCACCAUUAACAUCAAAGGGAUCACAAUUCAAGUCACCAUAUUUGUCAAGCACGGG